Molecule: small nucleolar RNA, 134 nt
Filed under: Colobus angolensis palliatus
Lineage: Eukaryota; Metazoa; Chordata; Mammalia; Primates; Cercopithecidae
Description: Small nucleolar RNA SNORA70 (ENSCANG00000020402.1)
Rfam family: Small nucleolar RNA SNORA70
About the family: snoRNA U70 seems to be exclusive to mammals and is a member of the H/ACA class of snoRNA which contain H (ANANNA) and ACA box motifs. H/ACA box snoRNAs are involved in the conversion of uridines to pseudouridines (5-ribosyluracil) a constituent of structural RNAs (transfer, ribosomal, small nuclear, and small nucleolar).
Source: Rfam by way of RNAcentral
CUGCAGCCAAUUAAGCCGACUGAGUUCCUUUUGUCAUGGGGGCCCAGUGUGCAAUGGUUGCAAACAGCAGCUUCCCUGGUAGUGAUGCAGCCUGUUUGUUGUGUGGGUUGCUCUAAGGGACCUUGGAGACAGAC